ACACCGUUGGUGAAGUGGUUAUCAUGCUUGCCUUCCAUGGUUCUGGUCUCCUUCGGACAGCAAGCGGCUCGGGUUCGAUUCCCGAACGGUGUA
This is a non-coding RNA of Paramarasmius palmivorus, 93 nucleotides long. The record is from the annotation of a GenBank genome assembly. NCBI's taxonomy places the organism in Eukaryota, Fungi, Basidiomycota, Agaricomycetes, Agaricales, Marasmiaceae.